CCCUAGUAACGGCGAGUGAAGUGGGAAAAGCUCAACUUUGUAAUCUGGCAGCUUCGCUGUCCGAGUUGUAGUCUCGAGAAAUGUUUUCCGCGCUGGCAUGUGUAUGAGUCUGUUGGAAUACAGCGUCAUAGAGGGUGAGAACCCCGUUCAUGACACAUCUACCAGUGCUUUGUGAUACAUUUUCGAUGAGUCGAGUUGUUUGGGAAUGCAGCUCAAAAUGGGUGGUAAAUUCCAUCUAAAGCUAAAUAUUGGCGAGAGACCGAUAGCAAACAAGUACCGUGAGGGAAAGAUGAAAAGCACUUUGGAAAGAGAGUUAAAAGUACGUGAAAUUGUUGAAAGGGAAACGCUUGAAGUCAGACGUGCGCAGUGCGAUUCAGCUCUAUUUCGGUAGAGUGUAUUUCGUGCUAUUGCAGGCCAGCAUCGGUUUUGCGAGCCGGAUAAAGGUUAGUGGAAGGUAGCAUCUUCGGAUGUGUUAUAGCCUCUAACUGAAUACGGAUUGCGAGACCGAGGGACGCAGCACGGCGCAAGCCAGAAGAUUCGUCUUCUUCGUGCUUAGGAUGCUGGUGAAAUGGCUUUAAA
This 579-nucleotide ribosomal RNA is filed under the name Buckleyzyma sp. CBS 10210. RNAcentral's name for it is "eukaryotic LSU rRNA". It matches the Rfam family "Eukaryotic large subunit ribosomal RNA", at positions 78 to 644 of the family's 3401-position model. Lineage: Eukaryota; Fungi; Basidiomycota; Cystobasidiomycetes; Buckleyzymales; Buckleyzymaceae. The record is from RNAcentral.